This 253-nucleotide ribosomal RNA is filed under the name uncultured bacterium. Its description in RNAcentral is "partial 16S ribosomal RNA". It matches the Rfam family "Bacterial small subunit ribosomal RNA", at positions 524 to 776 of the family's 1533-position model. The record is from RNAcentral.
UACAGAGGUCCCAAGCGUUGUUCGGAUUCAUUGGGCGUAAAGGGUGCGUAGGCGGUGGAGUAAGUUGGUUGUGAAAUCUUGGGGCUUAACCUCAAAAUUGCAUUCAAUACUGCUCCGCUCGAGUUCUGUAGAGGAGAUUGGAAUUUACGGUGUAGCAGUGAAAUGCGUAGAUAUCGUAAGGAACGCCAGUGGCGAAAGCGAAUCUCUGGGCAGCAACUGACGCUGAGGCACGAAGGCCAGGGGAGCAAACGGG